CCUACGGGAGGCAGCAGUGAGGAAUAUUGGUCAAUGGGCGAGAGCCUGAACCAGCCAAGUCGCGUGAGGGAGUACUGCCCUAUGGGUUGUAAACCUCUUUUGUCGGGGAGCAAAAGCCGGACGUGUCCGGCUGUGAGAGUGUCCGAAGAAAAAGCAUCGGCUAACUCCGCGGCAGCAGCCGCGGUAAUACGGAGGAUGCGAGCGUUAUCCGGAUUUAUUGGGGUUAAAGGGGGCGCAGGCGGAUGUUUAAGUCAGCGGUAAAAUCGUGGGGCUCAACCCCAUCCAGCCGUUGAAACUGGGGAUCUAGAGUGUGCGAGAGGUAUGCGGAAUGCGUGGUGUAGCGGUGAAAUGCAUAGAUAUCACGCAGAACCCCGAUUGCGAAGGCAGCAUACCGGUGCACAACUGACGCUGAGGCACGAAAGCGUGGGUAUCGAACAGGAUUAGAUACCCCAGUAGUC
Molecule: ribosomal RNA, 458 nt
Filed under: uncultured bacterium
Lineage: Bacteria
Description: partial 16S ribosomal RNA
Rfam family: Bacterial small subunit ribosomal RNA
Source: RNAcentral